Molecule: long non-coding RNA, 430 nt
Organism: Bubalus bubalis (water buffalo)
Lineage: Eukaryota; Metazoa; Chordata; Mammalia; Artiodactyla; Bovidae
Exons: 3
Source: RefSeq, a predicted model, not a curated record
UUAGUUUCCUGACCAGGGACUGAACCCAGGCCCCACCAAUGAAAGCACUAAGUCCUAACCACUGGACCACCAAGGAAUUCCCUGCCUUUUUUCUUUUCUUUUUUUAAUACCGAAAAACAGAUAAUCCUGGUGCAGAGGAACACUGUGUCCCCUUGCUUGCGGCGGCCAACUCAAAUCCUUUCUCCUGGAACCCGACCUGCCCUGUGCCCUUGGCACAAAGUUAAUGUUUGCUGAAUCAAGGAAACAUGUCAGCAGCAGCCUCGGGUGCCAAAGGAUGCACCACGAGGCCUGUGGAAUAUUAGUUCCCAGAUCACCUGACCUCCCUCUUGAGAAAUCUGUAUGCAGGUCAGGAAGCAACAGUUAGAUCUGGACAUGGAACAACAGACUGGUUCCAAAUAGGAAAAGGAGUACGUCAAGGCUGUAUAUUGUC